This 437-nucleotide ribosomal RNA is filed under the name uncultured bacterium. RNAcentral's name for it is "partial 16S ribosomal RNA". It matches the Rfam family "Bacterial small subunit ribosomal RNA", at positions 28 to 507 of the family's 1533-position model. The record is from RNAcentral.
GAUGAACGCUGGCGGCAUGCUUAACACAUGCCAGUCGGACGGGAAGUGGUGUUUCCAUUCGCGGACGGGUGUGUAACGCGUAAGAACCUGCACUUGGGAGUGGAACAACAGCUGGAAACGGCUCCUAAUACCCCGUAGACUGCUGAUCACACGUAGGAAUCCGCCCGAGGAGGGGAUUGCGUAUGAUUAGCUAGUUGGUGUGGCAGUAGCUUACCAAGGCGAUGAUCAGGAGCUGGUCCGAGAGGAUGAUCAGCCACACUGGGACGGGAAGACGGCCCGGGCUACCACGGGAAGCAGAAGAGGGGAAGUUUCAGCAAUGGGGGAAAGGCUGAGAGGGCAAUGCGGCGGGGAAGUAGAGGGCCCAGGGGUGGAAAGCUGCUUUGCCCGGAGAAGAAGCAAUGAAGGUAACUGGAGAAGAAGCACAGGCUAAAUCAGUG